Molecule: long non-coding RNA, 222 nt
Filed under: Elaeis guineensis (African oil palm)
Lineage: Eukaryota; Viridiplantae; Streptophyta; Magnoliopsida; Arecales; Arecaceae
Description: long non-coding RNA (EGUI_LNC067665)
Source: RNAcentral
UUCCAGUUGUGGAUAGAAGAAGGAGCACCCUUCAGUAACCCCUUCCUACCAAACUGAGGAGAGAAGUACCACCAAUCCUUCACCGAGGGAUGACGCUUGAAGGUGUAGAAGUAUCUAAACAAGGAAAGGGUGGGCUGGACUUCGACUAUAUGACAAAAAGAGAGGAACCCUAUCAAAAACCUAAAUGAGUUCGGUGCAACCGAAGCCAGAGAAAUGUCAAGG